RNAcentral lists this ribosomal RNA (353 nucleotides) under uncultured bacterium. RNAcentral describes it as "bacterial SSU rRNA". It matches the Rfam family "Bacterial small subunit ribosomal RNA", at positions 8 to 350 of the family's 1533-position model. The record is from RNAcentral.
AGAGUUUGAUCAUGGCUCAGGAUGAACGCUAGCUACAGGCUUAACACAUGCAAGUCGAGGGGAAACGAUAUUGGAAGCUUGCUUCCGAUAGGCGUCGACCGGCGCACGGGUGAGUAACGCGUAUCCAACCUGCCCACCACUUGGGGAUAACCUUGCGAAAGUAAGACUAAUACCCAAUGACGUCUCUAGAAGACAUCUGAAAGAGAUUAAAGAUUUAUCGGUGAUGGAUGGGGAUGCGUCUGAUUAGCUUGUUGGCGGGGUAACGGCCACCAAGGCUACGAUCAGGUAGGGGUUCUGAGAGGAGGGUCCCCCANAUUGGAACUGAGACACGGUCCAAACUCCUACGGGAGGCA